AGGUAAGUGCUUAUGCUGCUGCUUUGAGGGCCACACACCUUGAGGAUUAGGAAGAGUACUCAUACUGGAAGAGUAUUCAGCAUGGACUGGAAUCCUGCAUAUAUAUCUGAGCUCUGUGUUCUGUAGAGACGGGGUUUCACCACGUUGCCCAGGCUGGUCUCAAACUCCUGAGCUCAGGCAAUCUGCCCGCCUCGGCCUCCCAAAGUGCUAGGAUUACAGAAGGUGCCUGCUUCCCCUUCACCUUCCACCAUGAUUGUAAGUUUCCUGAGGCCUCCCCGGACAUGUGGAACUGUGAGUCAAUUAAAUCUCUUUUCUUUAUAAAUUACCCAGUCUCAGGUAGUAUCUUUAUAGCGGUAUAAAAACAGACUAAUACAAACAGGUAGCUCUAAAUUGUGAGUUUUUCUUAACUCCUUUGAUCUUCUGUGAUAGCGAUUUUUCACAUUUCACACUUCCCUAGUGCCAAAUAUCCACCUCCAGCAGCUGUUUUGCCUCUUUCUUAUCUUGCCCCUUGGAAGAAUGUCAUCAUCA
This 528-nucleotide small RNA is filed under the name Pongo abelii (Sumatran orangutan). Its description in RNAcentral is "sense overlapping". The record is from RNAcentral. Lineage: Eukaryota; Metazoa; Chordata; Mammalia; Primates; Hominidae.